UAGUUUGCAGGUUGUAGUUUGUAGUUUGUAGUUUGUAGUUUGUAGUUUGUAGUUUGUAGUUUGUAGUUUGUAGUUUAU
This is a non-coding RNA of Caenorhabditis elegans, 78 nucleotides long. Lineage: Eukaryota; Metazoa; Nematoda; Chromadorea; Rhabditida; Rhabditidae. The record is from Ensembl.